This 6665-nucleotide long non-coding RNA is filed under the name Eutrema salsugineum. Its description in RNAcentral is "long non-coding RNA (ESAL_LNC001890)". The record is from RNAcentral. Lineage: Eukaryota; Viridiplantae; Streptophyta; Magnoliopsida; Brassicales; Brassicaceae.
GGUGCUGGUCGUCUAGAAGGAGGACGUGGCUUCUUAGCUCGGCUUUUUGGUUUGAGAGGCUUCGGCUCCUUGACUAAAAGAAAAACAAGGAGAAUGUAAGAAUGAGUUCUGGUAAGUUCAAAUAAAGGAAAAAAAGAAAAAUGACUAAGUAACAUUUACCGGAUUUAUUAGCUCGGCGUCGUUGGCGCCGAAGGAUUUCUUCUCAAGAUUCAGGCCAACGACGUUUACCGGCUUCACUGAAGGCUGUUUGGAAUUCGGUUGUGAGUCCGGAAUUGAGGAGAAUACUUGGAAGAUGGCGACCUGCACGAACAAACAAUAAAGGUUAAAAAGACAAAUAAAAGGCAAUCAAAAGAAGAGUGGGAUCAUCUAAAGCUACGGAUCGGAAUCUUCCACUCCGACUGAGUUGGUAUAUCAGUCUCGUUAAUUGUGAGUUCGUUAAUUUCGAGAAGAAGUAAUGCGACUCCCAGUCGUUGUACUUGCUAGGCUUCACCCCGGUAACGAUAUCUUUCCAAGGCUUAGCGUUAGCUGCAAAGAACCAAUCCUUCUUCGGGUGAAGAUUGACCGAGAAGAGGUCUUCAAUGAGACGAUUGGUUAGAUUUUCAUUGAGUUCGGCGCACAGGGAUCGGAAUCCCGUGUAGUUUGUCACCGAUGCAGGCAUCAGCUGCGAGAGAGCCACACCUCGACGGUUACACUAGCCGAGCUGGCGAGACGGGAUUGGAAGCGUCAGUCCGCACUGGGUGAAGUAGCCCAAGUAGAAGCAGAGGUAGUCUUUGGGGACAUGUCAUGGGCGGUCCCUGGCAUCAGGGGCGAUGUAAGCAGCUCCUUCCGUGAGUCCGCACGCUUCAAGUGCGGAGCGAAUCGUUCCUGGAGAUAAGGAUGACCCAGGCACAUCGCGAGAACAGACGACCUUCCGAGCUGGUGUCGGUGCAGGAGCAACAUUCACCGCUUGAGCUUCGGCGUUGACCUCGGCGUUAUCUCCCUCCUUGAGGUUUCCUACCUCGAGUUCGUUAACCUCCUCGAUCUCAUUAUUAUCAUCUUCGUCGGCAUCUGGAGCAAUCUGGGCCCUCGUUUUUCUAGCCUCGUUCGCCAACUGCUCAGGCGACUCAACUCUCGGUCUAGGUCGGUUACUGCUAGCACCCGCCGCUCUGGAGUUCUUGCGGGUUAAGGUCAGAGGAUUACUCGCCAACCUAGAACUCUGAGAUGAGGAGCUCGGCUCGGGGAAGUCGCGACAAUCUUCCGGAAGGAUUUGGUUAGAGGAGUUGUUGUUUGAAGAAGAAUCGGAAGACAUUUUUAAGAUCAGGAAAUGAGGUCGGAUGAAGAAGGCUUAAAGAACAGUUUGAAGAUGGAUCAGAAAGAUUAAAGAUGAAUCGGAAAAGUUUGAAGAUGGGUCGGAAAAAAUUGAAGAUUGAUCGGAAAAUUCAAAGAGAACGGCGGAGAGAGCAGAGAGAACUAAGAGAUCUAACAAAUAAAAAACUAGAGAGAGAAACGAAUCUAUGCUGAAGCAGAGAGAACUACCUUAUAUAUGUUGAAGCAGAAAUAAUGAAUGCGAAGUGGACUUCGUGUUAUAAAGAAACAGUAGAAAUCGUGGAUCCUCGAUUUUUGCGAAUUUCUAGAUUUCACGCGCCUCAUUAAAUUAGGGUUUUAAAAUGCCUGGAAAAACAAAUCGACUGAGUCUGCCGAGCUUGAUUUGUGACAUAAUUUCGAAAUCUAACUCAAAUGAGUUCGACAAAAAGCAAUCCCCUUUCGCCGAACUCUGGGGGUGGGGGAGCUAACUUGUUGGAGGUGAAAACCGCACCCUGUUGUUCUCCGGUACAAACCGAGAUUGGCACAAAUUAAGCCCGGUUUACAAAGGAACUGUACCGGAGAAAUCGGGCCAAAUGAGCUCCUAGGCUGAACAUGGCCUAUUAACACAAAGUCGGUCGGAAAUUCUCAAAGGAAUCGAGAAGGAUCCUGAGUUCGGAUGAAAAAGAAAAGUUCACGAACAAAAAAGGAAAUUCCCAAGAGAAAAGAAAAGUCUUUUCGGUCCCAUUUCAAGAAGAUGUCUCGCAAAGACCGACUUAGGGCACAUAUAUAAAGGGAGAAGAAUCGACACCAGAAAACACAAAAAAUCCGAAGAGACUUAGAGAUCGAGAACUCAAGACAUAUUCAGUUUCUUAGUUUCCUAAGUCUUAGCUCGUUUAUUAUUCUCAUAAAGAAACUCAGUUGUAUUUUGUCCGAUCUAAUAAAAUCUAAAUUUCUGAUCUAAAUUACUGUUUUACCCCUUUGUGUGAUAUCAUAUAUCAACAAUAAGAUAAUUUAAGUAGAUUGAUAACAACAUUUUGAAUAUAGCAAGUCAAACUAGUCUUGGUAUUGCAAUAGAUCGAAUCACACAAAAAACAUUCUAAGAAAGCUUGAUUAUUGAAAGAUAUUUUUAUAAGUGUGCAAAGUUUCUAUAUAUAAAGAUGUUUAUAAGAUAAUUUAAGUAGAUUGAAAGCAACAUUUUGAAUAUAGAAAGUCAAACUAGUCUUGGUAUUACAAUAGAUAGAAUCACACAAAAAACAUUCAAAGAAAGAUUCAUUAUUUAAAGAUGAAUAGAAGUUGUGGAUAGGAAAAAAUGUAUUUUAGGAUCAAUAGUUCUCAAAUCGCAUGCUCUUACACUAAAAAAAAAAAUAUAUGUUCAAAGACAUUAUCUGGAACAUCAAUAGAAUAAGUCAAGAGAAUUGAGCGAUUAACAAAGUGUCACAUAGUUCUUCUUAAGAACAACAUUUGAGUUCAGUUCUUUAACCUUCACAAACACAAGAAAGCUUCAAAAUGAUUGAACAAACCUCACUAAUGUCAGAGAAAAAUAACACGAUGACUUUUUCCUCCCAGGCGCGACUCCCAAGAAUCUCUGCAACUAAUUCCCGAUUUACUUUUCCACCGUAAGAAAUUCAAAUUUUCAAACGAUCCGACGCAGCUACUUUUUCCGGUGAGAAAUUUUUUGGAAUCUCGGCAUGGCUUUCAAGAUCCACCGAUUAUUUCCUCCCCUUGUCUCGUUUAUGAUAUCUGUUUGAAGGAAAGAAGCCAUCUGAAGCCUUUUUCACCAGUUGAAAAGUCUGAAGUCUUGCUCCAUUCCUUUUUUUUUUCUCGUCACCGGAGUUCCUGUGCUGACUAUGUUCACCGGCUCCUGAUGUCUCCGCCUCUGACCUUUCACCUUUAUCGUGUCUCUACACUCCAUCCCUUCUAGCUUUAUGCUAUGUCCUGUUCUCUUCUUUUCAUCAAAGAAGAAGACCCUGUAUCAUAAAAGAAAAUCCCUCAAGCUCCAGGGAUAACCGUCUAUCCUGUUACCUGAACUAUGAAGAAAUGAAGUCAAUCUCUGGUCCUGUCUAAAGCCGUUCAGAAAUCCACUUUUGGUGAUAUUAGGUGGUUAAGUGUUAUAAAAGUUGUAACCGGAUUAAACCGGAUAAAUUGAUCUUCUCUCAUAUAAAGGAGAGGUCGUGUGUAACAAACAUCUUAUCCAGAAUAACAAACUUUUCUUCCAUCUCUGUUUUCUUCUACAAAGCUAUUAUGGUAUCAAAGCAUUUUGCUCCGCUUCAUCACUCGUUUUCUUCCAUUUCUUCGAUUCUUCGAGCUCUCCAUUGAUCGAGCUCAUCAUCUUCACUGAUCCUUCCACUAGUUUCAUCCAAUUCGUUGUUUUUCAGCUAGCUCCGACUUCGCGAUGGUUUCCGUCAGAAAUCUACGGCGUCGCGGCGGUAAAUCGGCAGCUUCAGCUCGGAAAACACCUAUUCGCGAUGAUUCCUCCUCAUCUCCAACUCCGAUCAUCCCAUCUUCUCCGGCGAUUACGCAAAAUGCCUCGAUUGACUUUACGGAUAUGGUUUAUUCACCAUACGCGUUGACGAACGGUGAUAAUCCAGGAAGUGCAAUCAUAUCUGAGGUACUCGAUGGAACCAACUAUUCUACCUGGAAAAUUGCCAUGUCCGUUGCGUUAGAUGCGAAAAAUAAAAUAGGUUUUGUCGAUGGAUCUCUUCCGAGACUACCUGAAUCGCAUCCUAGCUUUAGGUUAUGGUCACGGUGCAAUAGUAUGGUAAAAUCUUGGCUAUUGAACUCAGUUUCAAAGCAAAUAUACAGAAGUAUUCUUCGAUUCAACGAUGCUUCAGAAAUUUGGAAAGAUCUGAUGGUCCGAUUUCAUAUAACAAAUCUUCCAAGAUCUUAUCAAUUGAUGCAACAGAUUUGGUCUCUGCAGCAAGGAUCGAUGAAUCUUUCUGAAAUACUAUACUGCAUUAAAGACACUGUGGGAUGAUUUAGAUGGCGCUGAAUGUAUCAGUACUUGUCACAACUGCAAAUGUUGCAGGUCAAUUGAUAAACAAGCUGAACACGCCAAAGUCAUCAAGUUUUUGGCAGGAUUGAAUGAGUCUUACACGACCAUUCGGAGCCAAAUUAUCAUGAAGAAGUCUAUUCCAGAACUGGCUGAGAUAUACAACCUUUUGGAUCAGGAUCACAGUCAAAGAAAUUUUGGUUUAGGCACUCAAAGUAACGCUUCUGCAUUUAAUGUCUCGGCUUCAGUGAAUGCGGCAAAGGCAUCCUACAAUAAUCCAAAACAGAACAAACCUCAAUGUACUCAUUGUGGAUACAUGGGUCACACUGUUGAUGGUUGCUACAAAAUUCAUGGAUAUCCUCCUGGUUUCAAGCACAAAAACAAAUCUGUUUCUGAUAGAGUGGAAAUGAGAAGCCUACAUCACAAGACAAAGCUACUUCUGAUAAACCAGUAGUAGCAAGUGUAGCUCUCGGUGAAAGUUCUAACUCACAACCAAACAGACUUGAUUCAGAUGGCAUCGCCAAAAUGAUUGGAGAAUUAUCAAAGGAUCAAAUCCAGGACAUGAUCGCUUACUUCAGUACUCAAUUGCAGACCACUCCAGCUAAAACAUCUUCAUCUCUCGGUGUUGUUGAUCUAGCUCCAAAUGGUACUGCAUUUUCUUCCUCUACACUAUGUUUUGUUGGAAUCUUGACAGCUACUAGGAAUGUGCUAACAAACCAAACAUGGAUCAUAGAUAGUGGUGCUACUCAUCAUGUUUCCCAUGAUCGAAACAUGUUUAAAAGCCUAUCUAAUGAUUUGAGCAAUACUGUUACACUUCCUACUGGUAUGAAUAUCAAGAUUGCAGGUGUUGGGAAGAUCAAGCUAAGUGAUCGGUUCAUAUUGAACAAUGUGUUAUUCAUCCCAGACUUCCGACUGAAUCUACUCAGUGUCAGUCAACUGACCAAAGAUCUUUGUUCCAGGAUUUCUUUUGAUGAAACUUCUUGUGUGAUUCAGGAUCGUAUCAAGGAGCAGAUGAUUGGACAGGGUAGACAGAUCGGUGGCUUAUACGUGUUGGAUUCUGAAGUUUUAUCAAGACCCUCUAAUGAUGUAAUUCCUUUCUGUUCUUCUGUUAUAGUUGAUGCAAAUUUGUGGCACAGUAGGUUAGGUCAUCCUUCCUACGAUAAACUUGAUCUUCUCUCCAAUGUAUUGGGAUUACAUAAACGGAAUAAAGAAGAUUCAUUACAUUGUGCCCCUUGUCAACUAGCAAAACAGAAACAUCUACCGUUCAUAUCAAAGAACAAUAUGACAGAUAAUGCUUUUGACCUCAUACACAUAGAUACUUGGGGGCCGUUUUCUGUUUCUACUCUAGAAGGAUACAGAUAUUUUCUAACGGUGGUUGAUGAUCACACAAGAGCCACUUGGAUUUAUCUUAUGAAGACUAAAGCAGACGUCAACCAAGUAUUCCCCGGGUUUCUACAAAUGGUAGAGACUCAGUAUGAGAAGAAAGUCAAAGCAGUCCGAUCGGACAAUGCUCCUGAGCUAAAGUUCACAGAGUUGUUCUUGAAGAAAGGAAUUAUCUCUUACCACUCUUGUCCAGAGACUCCACAACAAAAUUCAGUUGUUGAACGCAAGCACCAGCACAUUCUAAAUGUGGCCAGGGCUUUGAUGUUUCAAUCACGGGUUCCAAUUGAAUAUUGGGGAGACUGUGUAUUAUCUGCGGUAUUCCUGAUAAACAGAAUACCUACUCCUGUGCUAUCUAACAAGUCUCCAUUUGAAAUGUUACCUCUUUAUUUUUUCUAGUUUUUGCUAAGUCCUGUAUAUGAAGGAAUAAGUAUUUGCAAUAAGAAGACUGAAGUUUUAUCCUUUUUGUGAAGCGUGAAGAAUUUAAAUCUGGGAUUUUUUCUUGCUCUCUCUUUGUCCGAUGACUUCCCAAACCUGUAUCUCCGGCGUGCUCCUCAGGAAACAAGUCUUCUCUGCUUAAGAUUGAUGACUCUGACGACCAAGACUAAAGAUCUCUCCCCCCUGGGAAGUUUUUGAAAAACCGAUUACCUGAAGAUUCUCUUGGCUCUAACUGUAUACCAAGUUCAUCCCACAAAAACCCUUGAAGACCCCUACGACAUAAACAUAUUCUCACUAAUCUCUGUUAUUACUCCAAUCUCAACAAUGACGAACAAAUAAACCAGCAUUACCAAAGAUGACGAGGGGGAAAUUAUUUGAGGAGCAGGUUUCGUGGAGCAGUACAGUCGCUUGCGUUGGAUCGAGGUGAGCUACGAACCUUGGAAUCGAGGCUAUGGAUGGGACUUGAAAAACUGGAAAAAUCUCUGGAAGCAAAUUUCCAAAUCUCCGGCGGCCAAGGAGCUUAAUUGAAGAAGCGAAGUUUUAGUAAAAUGUUAAUUUUCUCCAAGAGCAAAAG